This 348-nucleotide unclassified non-coding RNA is filed under the name soil metagenome. Its description in RNAcentral is "partial contains 5.8S ribosomal RNA, internal transcribed spacer 2, and large subunit ribosomal RNA". The stretch from base 1 to 120 matches the Rfam family "5.8S ribosomal RNA", at positions 35 to 154 of the family's 154-position model. The record is from RNAcentral.
GAUGAAGAACGUAGCGAAAUGCGAUAAGUAAUGUGAAUUGCAGAAUUCAGUGAAUCAUCGAGUCUUUGAACGCACAUUGCGCCCCCUGGUAUUCCGGGGGGCAUGCCUGUCCGAGCGUCAUUGCCGCCCUCAAGCACGGCUUGUGUGUUGGGCCCCCGCCCCCCGGCUUCGGGGGGCGGGCCCGAAAGGCAGCGGCGGCACCGCGUCCGGUCCUCGAGCGUAUGGGGCUUCGUCACCCGCUCUGUAGGCCCGGCCGGCGCCCGCCGGCGACCCCAAUCAAUCUUUCCAGGUUGACCUCGGAUCAGGUAGGGAUACCCGCUGAACUUAAGAAUAUCAAUAAGCGGAGGA